UCAGAAAAGGAAAUCAACACAGCAAAGCAAUAUGAAUCGGUAUCAACAUGAGAACUGAAGCUGUUAGAAGAGACAAAAAUAACAAAUCCCUACAUAAAGUAUGAGAACACCUACAAUUCUGUCUUGCAUAAUCUUCUUCAAUAUCUUUUUCUUGGUUUGCCAAAAUAAAUAACAAUAAUAAGCACCGCCGUCAUAUUUCAGAGAGUUAGUAGACAUACUGAUGUAAAAGCUAUUC
Molecule: long non-coding RNA, 235 nt
Organism: Rhodamnia argentea
Lineage: Eukaryota; Viridiplantae; Streptophyta; Magnoliopsida; Myrtales; Myrtaceae
Exons: 2
Source: RefSeq, a predicted model, not a curated record